UUAGAGUUUGAUCCUGGCUCAGAUUGAACGCUGGCGGCAGGCCUAACACAUGCAAGUCGAGCGGUAGAGAGGUGCUUGCACCUCUUGAGAGCGGCGGACGGGUGAGUAAAGCCUAGGAAUCUGCCUGGUAGUGGGGGAUAACGCUCGGAAACGGACGCUAAUACCGCAUACGUCCUACGGGAGAAAGCAGGGGACCUUCGGGCCUUGCGCUAUCAGAUGAGCCUAGGUCGGAUUAGCUAGUUGGUGAGGUAAUGGCUCACCAAGGCGACGAUCCGUAACUGGUCUGAGAGGAUGAUCAGUCACACUGGAACUGAGACACGGUCCAGACUCCUACGGGAGGCAGCAGUGGGGAAUAUUGGACAAUGGGCGAAAGCCUGAUA
RNAcentral lists this ribosomal RNA (380 nucleotides) under bacterium WS10_380. RNAcentral describes it as "bacterial SSU rRNA". It matches the Rfam family "Bacterial small subunit ribosomal RNA", at positions 1 to 388 of the family's 1533-position model. The record is from RNAcentral.